UACACUCCUACGGGAGGCAGCAGUGGGGAAUAUUGCACAAUGGGCGCAAGCCUGAUGCAGCCAUGCCGCGUGUAUGAAGAAGGCCUUCGGGUUGUAAAGUACUUUCAGCGGGGAGGAAGGCGAUAAGGUUAAUAACCUUGUCGAUUGACGUUACCCGCAGAAGAAGCACCGGCUAACUCCGUGCCAGCAGCCGCGGUAAUACGGAGGGUGCAAGCGUUAAUCGGAAUUACUGGGCGUAAAGCGCACGCAGGCGGUCUGUCAAGUCGGAUGUGAAAUCCCCGGGCUCAACCUGGGAACUGCAUUCGAAACUGGCAGGCUAGAGUCUUGUAGAGGGGGGUAGAAUUCCAGGUGUAGCGGUGAAAUGCGUAGAGAUCUGGAGGAAUACCGGUGGCGAAGGCGGCCCCCUGGACAAAGACUGACGCUCAGGUGCGAAAGCGUGGGGAGCAAACAGGAUUAGAAACCCCUGUAGUCCCAUGA
This 477-nucleotide ribosomal RNA is filed under the name uncultured organism. RNAcentral describes it as "partial 16S ribosomal RNA". It matches the Rfam family "Bacterial small subunit ribosomal RNA", at positions 332 to 800 of the family's 1533-position model. The record is from RNAcentral.